GUAAAUAGUAGUAAAAUAACCCUAAUCCAAUGUGUAUUAGGAGUAGGAUAGAUUAUGUGUAUAUAUAUAGGGCUCAUUGUAUCAUGUUUAAUAUCAAUGAUAUUUUUCUCCCGUGCUUUCUCACAUGGUAUCAGAGCUACAGUAAGAAAUUUAUCGCUGUGCACAAAUUCCAGCGACUCCGGGAAGAGAUAACAGUCAACCGGAAGCCCUU
Molecule: long non-coding RNA, 211 nt
Filed under: Nicotiana benthamiana
Lineage: Eukaryota; Viridiplantae; Streptophyta; Magnoliopsida; Solanales; Solanaceae
Description: long non-coding RNA (NBEN_LNC000894)
Source: RNAcentral